Molecule: ribosomal RNA, 497 nt
Filed under: uncultured bacterium
Lineage: Bacteria
Description: partial 16S ribosomal RNA
Rfam family: Bacterial small subunit ribosomal RNA
Source: RNAcentral
GAUGAACGCUGGCGGCGUGCCUAAUACAUGCAAGUCGAGCGAACAGACGAGGAGCUUGCUCCUCUGACGUUAGCGGCGGACGGGUGAGUAACACGUGGAUAACCUACCUAUAAGACUGGGAUAACUUCGGGAAACCGGAGCUAAUACCGGAUAAUAUAUUGAACCGCAUGGUUCAAUAGUGAAAGACGGUUUUGCUGUCACUUAUAGAUGGAUCCGCGCCGCAUUAGCUAGUUGGUAAGGUAACGGCUUACCAAGGUGACGAUGCGUAGCCGACCUGAGAGGGUGAUCGGCCACACUCGAACUGAGACACGGUCCAGACUCCUACGGGAGGCAGCAGUAGGGAAUCUUCCGCAAUGGGCGAAAGCCUGACGGAGCAACGCCGCGUGAGUGAUGAAGGUCUUCGGAUCGUAAAACUCUGUUAUUAGGGAAGAACAAAUGUGUAAGUAACUAUGCACGUCUUGACGGUACCUAAUCAGAAAGCCACGGCUAACUACGUG